Molecule: ribosomal RNA, 465 nt
Filed under: uncultured bacterium
Lineage: Bacteria
Description: partial 16S ribosomal RNA
Rfam family: Bacterial small subunit ribosomal RNA
Source: RNAcentral
GACGAACGCUGGCGGUGUGCUUAACACAUGCAAGUCGAACGGUAAGGCCCUUUCGGGGGUACACGAGUGGCGAACGGGUGAGUAACACGUGAGUAACCUGCCCUCAUCUCUGGGAUAACAGUCGGAAACGGUUGCUAAUACUGGAUAUGAGCUUGCAAGGCAUCUUGUGGGUUGGAAAGAUUUUUUUGGUUGGGGAUGGACUCGCGGCCUAUCAGCUUGUUGGUGAGGUAGUGGCUCACCAAGGCUUCGACGGGUAGCCGGCCUGAGAGGGCGACCGGCCACAUUGGGACUGAGAUACGGCCCAAACUCCUACGGGAGGCAGCAGUGGGGAAUAUUGCACAAUGGACGGAAGUCUGAUGCAGCAACGCCGCGUGCGGGAUGACGGCCUUCGGGUUGUAAACCGCUUUCAAUUGUGACGAAGCUUUUGUGACGGUAGCAGUAGAAGAAGCACUGGCUAACUACGUG